Molecule: ribosomal RNA, 253 nt
Filed under: uncultured bacterium
Lineage: Bacteria
Description: partial 16S ribosomal RNA
Rfam family: Bacterial small subunit ribosomal RNA
Source: RNAcentral
UACGUAGGUGGCGAACGUUAUCCGGAAUUACUGGGCGUAACGGGCGCGCAGGCGGCUGUUUAAGUCUGACGUGAAAGCUCCUGGCUUAACUGGGAGAGGUCGUUGGAGACUGAAUGGCUUGAGGCAAUGAGAGGGGUGCGGAAUUCCCGGUGUAGUGGUGGAGUGCGUAGAUAUCGGGAGGAACACCAGUGGCGAAAGCGGCAUCCUGGCAUUGACCUGACGCUCAUGUGCGAAAGCGUGGGGAGCGAACGGG